AGCGCCGGUAAGGUGAUAUGAACCGUUAUAACCGGCGAUACCCGAAUGGGGAAACCCAGUGUGAUUCGUCACACUAUCAUUAACUGAAUCCAUAGGUUAAUGAGGCGAACCGGGGGAACUGAAACAUCUAAGUACCCCGAGGAAAAGAAAUCAACCGAGAUUCCCCCAGUAGCGGCGAGCGAACGGGGAGGAGCCCAGAGCCUGAAUCAGCAUGUGUGUUAGUGGAAGCGUCUGGAAAGGCGCGCGAUACAGGGUGACAGCCCCGUACACAAAAGCGCAUGUGCUGUGAGCUCGAUGAGUAGGGCGGGACACGUGGUAUCCUGUCUGAAUAUGGGGGGACCAUCCUCCAAGGCUAAAUACUCCUGACUGACCGAUAGUGAACCAGUACCGUGAGGGAAAGGCGAAAAGAACCCCGGCGAGGGGAGUGAAAAAGAACCUGAAACCGUGUACGUACAAGCAGUGGGAGCACCCUUUGGGUGUGACUGCGUACCUUUUGUAUAAUGGGUCAGCGACUUAUAUUCUGUAGCAAGGUUAACCGAAUAGGGGAGCCGGAGGGAAACCGAGUCUUAACCGGGCGUUAAGUUGCAGGGUAUAGACCCGAAACCCGGUGAUCUAGCCAUGGGCAGGUUGAAGGUUGGGUAACACUAACUGGAGGACCGAACCGACUAAUGUUGAAAAAUUAGCGGAUGACCUGUGGCUGGGGGUGAAAGGCCAAUCAAACCGGGAGAUAGCUGGUUCUCCCCGAAAGCUAUUUAGGUAGCGCCUCGUGAAUUCAUCUCCGGGGGUAGAGCACUGUUUCGGCUAGGGGGCCAUCCCGGCUUACCAACCCGAUGCAAACUGCGAAUACCGGAGAAUGUUAUCACGGGAGACACACGGCGGGUGCUAACGUCCGUCGUGAAGAGGGAAACAACCCAGACCGCCAGCUAAGGUCCCAAAGUCAUGGUUAAGUGGGAAACGAUGUGGGAAGGCCCAGACAGCCAGGAUGUUGGCUUAGAAGCAGCCAUCAUUUAAAGAAAGCGUAAUAGCUCACUGGUCGAGUCGGCCUGCGCGGAAGAUGUAACGGGGCUAAACCAUGCACCGAAGCUGCGGCAGCGACACUGUGUGUUGUUGGGUAGGGGAGCGUUCUGUAAGCCUGUGAAGGUGUGUCGUGAGGCAUGCUGGAGGUAUCAGAAGUGCGAAUGCUGACAUAAGUAACGAUAAAGCGGGUGAAAAGCCCGCUCGCCGGAAGACCAAGGGUUCCUGUCCAACGUUAAUCGGGGCAGGGUGAGUCGACCCCUAAGGCGAGGCCGAAAGGCGUAGUCGAUGGGAAACGGGUUAAUAUUCCCGUACUUGGUGUUACUGCGAAGGGGGGACGGAGAAGGCUAUGUUGGCCGGGCGACGGUUGUC
Molecule: ribosomal RNA, 1386 nt
Filed under: Salmonella enterica subsp. enterica serovar Enteritidis
Lineage: Bacteria; Pseudomonadati; Pseudomonadota; Gammaproteobacteria; Enterobacterales; Enterobacteriaceae
Description: partial 23S ribosomal RNA
Rfam family: Bacterial large subunit ribosomal RNA
Source: RNAcentral